RNAcentral lists this ribosomal RNA (468 nucleotides) under uncultured bacterium. Its description in RNAcentral is "partial 16S ribosomal RNA". It matches the Rfam family "Bacterial small subunit ribosomal RNA", at positions 28 to 507 of the family's 1533-position model. The record is from RNAcentral.
GACGAACGCUGGCGGCGUGCUUAACACAUGCAAGUCGAACGGAAAGGCCCUGCUUUUGUGGGGUGCUCGAGUGGCGAACGGGUGAGUAACACGUGAGUAACCUGCCCUUGACUUUGGGAUAACUUCAGGAAACUGGGGCUAAUACCGGAUAGGAGCUCCUGCUGCAUGGUGGGGGUUGGAAAGUUUCGGCGGUUGGGGAUGGACUCGCGGCUUAUCAGCUUGUUGGUGGGGUAGUGGCUUACCAAGGCUUUGACGGGUAGCCGGCCUGAGAGGGUGACCGGCCAAAUUGGGACUGAGAUACGGCCCAGACUCCUACGGGAGGCAGCAGUGGGGAAUAGUGCACAAUGGGCGGAAGCCUGAUGCAGCAACGCCGCGUGCGGGAUGACGGCCUUCGGGUUGUAAACCGCGUUCGCCUGUGACGAAGCGUGAGUGACGGUAAUGGGUAAAGAAGCACCGGCUAACUACGUG